Molecule: ribosomal RNA, 513 nt
Filed under: uncultured bacterium
Lineage: Bacteria
Description: partial 16S ribosomal RNA
Rfam family: Bacterial small subunit ribosomal RNA
Source: RNAcentral
GACGAACGCUGGCGGCAUGCCUAAUACAUGCAAGUCGAGCGAACAGAUGAAGUGCUUGCACUUCUGACGUUAGCGGCGAACGGGUGAGUAACACGUAAGGAAUCUACCUAUAAGCGGGGGAUAACAUUCGGAAACGGGUGCUAAUACCGCAUAAUAUCUUCUUCCGCAUGGAAGAAGAUUGAAAGACGGCUCUGCUGUCACCUAUAGAUGACCUUGCGGUGCAUUAGUUAGUUGGUGGGGUAACGGCCUACCAAGACGAUGAUGCAUAGCCGACCUGAGAGGGUGAUCGGCCACAUUGGGACUGGGACACGGCCCAAACUCCUACGGGAGGCAGCAGUAGGGAAUCUUCCGCAAUGGGCGAAAGCCUGACGGAGCAAUGCCGCGUGAGUGAAGAAGGCCUUCGGGUCGUAAAACUCUGUUAUAAGAGAAGAACAAAUUGUAGAGUAACUGCUACAGUCUUGACGGUAUCUUAUCAGAAAGCCACGGCUAACUACGUGCCAGCAGCCGCAGUAA